Grus americana (Whooping crane) is the source of this 11381-nucleotide RNA transcript. It is a transcript of the gene named glycogen synthase kinase 3 beta, with no coding region annotated. NCBI's taxonomy places the organism in Eukaryota, Metazoa, Chordata, Aves, Gruiformes, Gruidae. The transcript has 12 exons. The record is from RefSeq and is a predicted model, not a curated record.
CGGGCUGCGGCUUGAAACCGUCCUAGGGCUGUGUGACAGAGGCAGCGCGCCCCCUGAUUGGCUUUCUCUCUUCGGCUCUCUUCGGGUUGGCCCGGCAAUAGCCGGAAAAGAGGGCUCCUUCCUAUUGGCUCCCCGACCGCGCUGCUAGGGCGGUGGCAGCGUUUUCCGAUUGGGUCUCCGUUUCGCUUCGGGGAGAUUCGGUGGCGCUCGUGUCGACUUCGCGAUUGGUUACGACCCGUUACAGGCAUUUCCGUAACGACCUCGGGAUUGGUCCCGAUGAGGCUCGGAUGUUUCCGUAAGGGCCUCGGGCUGGGGGCUAACGAGUGCGUCGGGCUCCUCGGCUGGGUAUUCACAGAAGGUGCUUAGGGCCAUUCCGCAGCGUAGGGCGGCGACGGGCAUAGGCGGCUGCGCGGCUUUGGCGCACACACAGAGCGCAGCAGCAGGAGCCCGGCACGCAGCGGAGGCAGCAGCGGGGACAAAGGGACUGAUCGGCAGAAACGGGGAGGGGGGCCCGGCGGGAAGCAGCUGGCGCCGGGAGGGAGCGGCGGGAGGCUUCAGCCGGGCGGGCGAGUCCCAUGUGCCUUGGACGCCCGGGGAAGCAGCAGCAACAGCCGCCGCCGCCAGCGCUCUGAAGCCGGCUGAGGAGGAGCCGGGGAGCCGCCACCGCCGCCGUCAUGGCCUGCGCCGCCGCCGCAGGCCGCCACCCGCAGUGCAGCCUCCCCAGCCUGAGCCGCCGCCAGCUGCCCCUGCGGGCGCAAUGAGGAGCCGCGCCGGAGCCGCCGCCUCAGCGCUGCACUGAGAAGCCUUAACGAGCGAGCGAGGCCGCCCGGGCCGCUUCACCUCUACUCCGCCCGCCGCGGAUUCCACCGCCCCUGCCGGAUCCCUUUGCGAGAGGUCGCAUCACCGCCUGUCGGCGGAUCCGGGAGCCCCGAGAUCCCUCCGCCGGGAAAAAAUAGUCCCGUUCCCUGCCGCCUCCCUCAGAGGCGAGGGGGAAGGAGAGGAGAGGGGAGGGGGAAGAAGGAGGAGGAAGAAAAAGAAGAAAAAAAAAAGAGAAAAAAGAGAAACCCAGCGGUGGGAUCAGAGGAACCGGGCCGUGAGCCUCCGCCCCAUGUGACUGGCGCCCAGGGUGGGAGCAGCGAGGCCUAGCAAACCCCCCUCGCUCGCGGCCGGGAGCAGGAGCGGGAGCGGCGCCGGGGGGGCUGCGGACUGGGCGGAGGCGGCUCUCGGACCCACCGGCGCUGCCGGGAAGGAUGGUUUUGUGAGAAACGGGCGGCGUGAGGAGGAGAAAGAAGAAGCCGGGCGAAGAGCGCGACAGAGACCGAGAGGGGAGGGGGCUUCCCCGGGGGGGGGGAAGGGGGGGGGCCCGGCGUUUCAUGUGGCGCGUCCCGCCCGUCUCCUCCAGCUGAGCGAGCGAGGGAGCGGCAGGCGGGCCCGCCGAGCCGCCGGGGCGAGGCGGAGGGCGAAGGCAGGAAGAGAGAGGUGAUCGGGGCAGAGCAGGAGCGGGAGACCAUGUCCGGGCGGCCCAGGACCACCUCCUUCGCGGAGAGCUGCAAGCCGGUGCAGCAGCCCUCGGCCUUCGGCAGCAUGAAAGUUAGCCGAGACAAAGAUGGCAGCAAAGUGACUACAGUAGUGGCAACUCCUGGACAAGGUCCGGACCGACCACAAGAAGUUAGCUACACAGACACCAAGGUGAUUGGAAAUGGAUCUUUUGGUGUUGUGUAUCAAGCCAAACUCUGUGAUUCAGGAGAGCUUGUGGCCAUUAAGAAAGUCCUGCAGGAUAAAAGAUUUAAGAACCGAGAGCUCCAGAUUAUGAGAAAGUUGGAUCAUUGUAACAUUGUCCGAUUGCGUUAUUUCUUCUACUCUAGUGGAGAGAAGAAAGAUGAGGUGUACCUCAACUUGGUGCUGGACUAUGUUCCUGAAACAGUAUACAGAGUUGCCAGACAUUAUAGUCGGGCCAAACAGACACUCCCUAUGAUUUAUGUCAAGUUGUACAUGUACCAGCUGUUCCGGAGUUUAGCCUAUAUCCAUUCCUUUGGGAUCUGCCACCGGGAUAUAAAACCACAGAACCUCUUGCUGGACCCUGAUACAGCUGUUCUAAAACUCUGUGACUUUGGAAGUGCAAAACAGCUGGUUCGUGGAGAACCUAAUGUCUCAUACAUCUGUUCUCGGUACUACAGGGCACCAGAGUUGAUCUUUGGAGCCACCGAUUAUACCUCCAGUAUAGAUGUGUGGUCAGCAGGCUGUGUAUUGGCUGAACUGUUACUAGGACAACCAAUCUUUCCAGGUGAUAGUGGUGUGGAUCAGUUGGUGGAAAUAAUCAAGGUUCUGGGAACGCCUACAAGGGAGCAAAUUAGAGAAAUGAAUCCAAACUAUACUGAAUUCAAAUUCCCUCAGAUUAAGGCACAUCCAUGGUCUAAGGACUCGUCAGGAACAGGACAUUUCACCUCAGGAGUACGGGUCUUCCGGCCCCGCACUCCACCAGAAGCAAUUGCGCUAUGUAGCCGUCUGUUGGAGUACACCCCCACUGCCCGCCUGACUCCCCUGGAGGCCUGUGCGCACUCUUUCUUCGAUGAACUACGGGACCCAAAUGUCAAGUUACCAAAUGGGCGAGACAAACCUGCACUCUUCAAUUUCACCACUCAAGAACUGUCAAGUAACCCAUCUCUGGCUUCGAUCCUCAUCCCUGCUCAUGCCCGGAACCAAGCAGCUGCUUCAACCCCUACAAACGCUACAGCUGCCUCAGGUGAGAACAUGCAACUGCCUGCCUCUCUCCCUACCCUCGCUCCCCCUGCCCAGGCACCUUCCUCCUGCUGAGGCCCACGAGCCACCUCGGCCCUUGGAGUGAAUGGGGAGGAAGGGGUCAUUCUAGCAUCACCUGAAACUCAGUCUUGGUAGGUGGUCAUUUGGGUCCUAGCUGUGAUCGCCAACCCCAAUCCUAACCCAGGGCACUUAAACUCUGUGUUCGGCUGUUGAGUUUGGUCAUUCUCACUCAGACUUCACUAUUAAACAAUCAUUCUCUCACCUGUUUUUUAGCAAUCCUUGUGGAUUGGUUUGCACCUAAUUUCUGAGCUCUCGGCCAGUCUGAAGUUAAAACUGACCUGGAGCAUGAGUGUUUGAUGCCUAGAAGAGAAGAAACAGCUAGCUCAGUACACGUGGCCUGCAUGGAUGGAGAGGAUAUUUUCCCCAAAAGCAUUAGCACUCGAAAGUCUAGUUAGGGAGUUCAGUCAGCAUGCUCACUGCCUCAUCUAAGUAGUUGCAGUUGCUUCUUACUGAGUUUGCUUGUGUCAUCUUUGAGCACGAGGCAGAUGCUUUUGGGUUUUGGCCAGCACUAUAUGAAUUUGGUUUUUGCCUCUCUCUCUCUCAGAUUUCUGUCAGAAACCUUUUAAAAGCUCACUGUUGGCCUGUAGCCACUCCGUAUUGUAUUCUGUUUCCAGUGAAAGCUUAAAAGCUGGGUAAUAUCAGUUGGGAGACUCCCAAAGAAAAUCCCAGGUGCUGCAGGAUGUGGCAGAGGUGAUUUAGUGUAUGGCACACUUCCUCUGAGUCAGCCCUGAGUCAGCACACCAGCCGGCUGUCUUGGGGCUUGGGCAACCAAAGGCAGUCUGCAAAAUGGGUGUGCUUCCAUACGCAUCCUGUGCACAUGUCAGUCCCAUUUGACAAGGGCUGUGACCCCCUUUUGAGGUGCAGGGCAUUUGCUCAAUGUAAGAUUAGCUGAUAAGGAGAAGCCCUAAUUAAAAAGGUAUUCUUGAAAUGUGCAGGACAGUGUUUGCAGGUUAACAUGCCACACAGUUCCCUGUGCUGAUGGUGAUCACUGAUGCGCUCGGUCCAGCCAGUGCUGUACGGAAAGCAUUUUCAUACUCCAGGACAGACAGAUGCACCUGGGUUUGAAAGAUGGGGCUUCUCUCUGAAAAUGUAGUAGCAGUAGGUGAAAAAUAACAGUCUGUACAAUUUAUGUGGUCUGAAUUUAGGAGAAAGCAAAAUUGCUAUUCUCAAAUGUAGUAUGUUUAUUUCAUAUACUUGGCAGUAUUUUGCAAAUAGUCAUGUUCACUGUUUCCCUUUUAUGUGCAUCUGUUGCUCAACAACGAGUGAGAAAAGAAAGCAGAUAAAGUAGUAAAAGUGAUUGAAAAAAUGACAAAGUACAAACAUGGAAAAUUAUUUUAAGCCCUUCUGAAAAAUACUGUUUCACUUAAUGUCCCUUUCAUGCCUUUUAAGGAGUUCUCUCUGCCAAGAUACAAGUCUUGACGAAUUAAUGGGGUUAAGAAGUUUUUCACCCAGCACUUUCCAAGAGUUCACGUGGGGAGAAGAGGCAUUAGGUUGAGUCAUAAAUGUGAAGUAUACUGAAAGAGAAGAAGGAAAAAAAAACCAGAACAAAAAAAACCCCCACCUAAACCAGCCCCACCUUAUUGCUGUCAACAUUUUUAACCGCCUCUUUGCAAGCACUGCACUGAGUUGGGAUAGGACCUCUUACUCAUAGUUCAAAAACCAACAACAAAAAAAAAAAACCUUGCAGCUUGGAAAGAAAUUGUGAAAUUAAGUUCAGUAUUGGGCAACAAUCAGCUUUGGGUUUCUGUGGCGCAGCUGGUUGGUAGUUUCUUACUCACAUGUGGUUCUCGCUGCAGGCAGUGGGAAUUUGAUCAGAGCUGUGAUUUUUAGGAUUAGGUCCUGUAUGAGGUUAUGUUAAUCUGUUGUGCUUUGCAUGCUGAUGCUAUGCUUAGCAAGAGAUUUUUGUAGAAGGGGUCCCUUCUUUCCCUAUACCCCCUGCACAUCCCAGAGCAGUAAGUUUUAGUAACUGCUAAAGCAGCAUGGGAGCAACUUGCCCACAUAACCCAGGGCAUCCCAAUAGGCAGGAGGCUUUUCUGCAAAAUGUUUGCUCAUGUGAGUAAGCAGUACAAGUUCAGAAACUACUUUUUUGAGUGGUGAUGAUGCUACAAAAUGUAGCUCUCAAGGCAAUUCAAAGGGCAAAGCAAAUUAUAUGUAACUGUAGUCUACAUUAUUAGUGUGUAACUCUUGUCUGCCUUUGGCAAGCAGAACUGAUACUGAGGUUCAAGUGUCCACUGCUAUGUCCAGCGUAGCUGCAUACUCUCUAAGCUUGAGGGAUAGGUGCACAUACAUGGAAAUGCAGCAUACUAGUUCAUCACUGUAGACAAUCCAGCUGAGCUGUUACUACCUGCUUGCAGACAGUUCUCCAUUUUCAUAGCUGUCAUGUUGGUAUGCAGCCAUGUCAAAAUUUCAGCUUUUUGAUAAGGUGUAAAGCUCAGCUUUAUAUCAUGCAGUUUCUUUGUAUACAAAGCAGGUUCAUAAUUAAAAAAUAACUAGAAAAAUGAGAUCUAUUUGUCUGAAGUCUAGCAAAGUAGCGUUUGCCAGGAGACUUAGCAGUGGUGUGCUGUUAAGAGAUGGAAAGAUUGGCUUUUCAACAUACCUUGUUAACAGUGCAGGCUUAAUCAAGGCAGCAAUACUAGCCCUUGUGCUAACCAACAUGGCACGCAUCUGCAUUUUAAAAAAGUUCUCCAAGACAAGUAAUUUUUGUUAACUGAUAGAUGCACAGUGGUGAUCUUAACAGCCAGUUCAACAGUAGUCCUGGGAUCGUUAUGUUAAAUGCAAGAGAAUUAUCAUGUUAUUUUUUGAGUGUUAAAAAAUGUAUUUGUUGUAAAUUUCCUCUUCUCUUGAGGUUUAAAGCUGGGCUUGCUGUACUAAUGGAACUUGGCUUUGCACUGGGAGUAUGAAGCCUUGCUGCACUGGUGUUAGUAAAUUAACCUAAAUGUUUGAGAAAUUCUCUGUGACGUUAGUGGCGUGUCUAAAGCAAAGUGGAGGAAAAGGAGGAUGGGAGUUACUGGCCCCUGCUUGAAAUGGUGCAGUAGCUUUCUGUGGGUUAUGCUGGCCACUGAUUAAAAAUGCCAGUGCAGUUGUAUUCGCGUGGAUGCUGUUUGAUCUAGUGAGGAGGAGGAGGAGAAUGGUUUCAUAGCUGUGCAGCCACAGCAUGCAAGAUGGGAGCAUGCACACCAAUGCAUAUCUGCUUGUGUGACUAUGUGUUUUUCUUCCUGGAUCAGCCAGCAGCAGUAGUUACCUCGCUGGUAGUCAGCGUUAAGAUGGGAAGAGCAUAAUUGCCAUCUGCAGGGGAGUUGUGCCAGCAGGGAUGCUGGGGUCAUCGUCUUAGGCAUCCCGCUGUGUUGAUCCUGUGUAAUCCCAAAUGCGAUGGCGUGCCUGAACUUUCAGCAACAAAACAGAUUAGGGCUGGUGUUACCUGCCAAUGUGUGGCAGCUGAAAAAGACCAUAGUACUCCAUAAAAUAAGAUUCAAUGCAUUUACGCUAUACCCGUGGAAGGAAAUUUGGAAAACUUUAAUUCCUUAACCAGGAGAAAGAGAGGUAAGCAAUUUGCUCAGGCUUCUGCAAAGCUCAGCACAGGGAUUGAGUCCAUGACAGUUAGAGGAGUAAAACUUGCAUGUUUCAGGCUCGCCAGUUUUGCGCUGAGCCCUGGAUUUCUAUGUCUGUAAGCACUAUAUGAAAACCAGGCUUUUUUCCUCCUUCCACUUGUCUCCUCAGCUGUCCUGUGAGGACUCCCAGGCUGGCGGUAGGGUUUUUCCUGUAUCUUUGCAGAUGAGCAGUGUUACGAAUCCAACCAGCUAAUGCUGUCAUUAGUGCUAAUGGGCUUUCUCAGACUGAGUUGGCAUCCCUGUCUGUCUUUGAACUAUAGCCCCAUCCUUCCUUUCCGGGAGGUUUGUGAGGAGUGUCACAUACCCUCCAAGAAAGCUGAGGCAUUCUUCAGAGGGAAACUGGAGGAGGUGCUCUACAUUGGUGAGAGAUAACUUUUGCCCUCUGUUUGGAAGAACUUUUGGAACGGGCUAACACUUAAGCCCUGAUGUGGUUUCUUUGCCCACACAGGCAGAGAUGUCAGGUGGAUAGGUUAGGGCAAAGAGGCUGUCCUGACCUCAACCCGCAGUCUGCUGUGUAGUCAUCUGUUCCGUACCAGAAAGCUGCAUGUCAGCUCCUGGCUUCACUCCCCAGCAGGGCUUCCACAGUGGCACAGGCAGCUGUUUUGCAAAGCACAUGUUUAGUAGCAUUGCUGAAGGCCUAGAUUUUCUUCUUUUAUGCCCAAAUACUGAUUCCUCGUGGUGAGGAGGAGUAAGUGAAUGUCCAUGGACCCUCAUACUCCAGUUGUGCUUUUUCUGGCGCUUCAGCAAAUUGAUGCUGGAGCAAGGUCUUCUUUGUUCCUCAAAUGUCCUGUCAAUACGGAGUCAAAGAUCAAGCUGGAAUGUCAAAAAACUGCAUUUUCUUGCAGGUUUGGAGCCAGUACAGCCUGGAGCAGGCUCUGCACUCUGCCCCAGCCUGGGUGAACUUCUAUAUAUUGUUGUGAAAAGCCCCAUGUAAACGAUCUUGGGCGGUGUCACUUGAUUUAUUUCCUGUUUAACAUGUGGCAUAUGUAUUUCUCAGGAACUCCCCCAUUAGAGUGAUGAUAGUAAAGGAGCAUAUGUUACAUGAAGUAGCUCCAUCCCCUCCUCUUUUUUCUGUAUCUCUGCUCAGUAGCAAUGUAAUGAUAAUGAUUUCAGCCUCUGCUGUCUUCAGGAAUAGGAGAUCAAAAGGCACGUUUCAUUUCAGCAAAUGAAACACAAGCACUUUUUGUACAGAUACAGAGAAAUCCUCUGCCAGCAGUACAGACUCCAGCUGGACUGCUCGCAUCAGGCACGGCAGAUGUUGCAUUAACUGGAGUUUAUCCAUACCUGAAAAUUAAUCUAGAACAGGCACAGUGAGAGUUUAAAGUGUGGAAACUAUUAGCUGUGUCUGGCUGGGUCACUUUUGAUUUCCAUGGUCAUUGGUGUGCAUGCAUGUGGGAUUUGGGAAUUGCUCCUUCAGGGUCAUUCUCCACGUAGGAGGGAGCCUCACGUGCAAGGCUAGCUUUCCAAAUAGUGCUGGCACUGUUGUCAUGCUGCCUUGGUGCUUUAACCGCAUGAGCUUUUUUUUUUAUUAUGGUGGGCCAUUCUUUUGGGAGGAAGGGGUUGCAAGUGAUUUGGAGUGGGGGGGAAAGGGAAUGGGAAACUCGCCGAGCAGUCAUUUGGCAUCCUCUGCCUGCAGGAUUUCCCUUUCUUCCCACAUGCUCCUCACAGCAUUUCCUUUUCAAAUAGGCGUCCUCUCUCAUCCCACUUGUCCUUUGUAUUCCUGGGUGCUGUUGUGUUUGAUUUCCCUUUUUUUGUUGCCGUUGGCUGUGCAUGUUACUUAAUUUGUCGCUCAACCCGUGCUGCCCAUCUCUAAGACUCUCAUUCAUUUCACUGCCUUUGCUUGUGGCUCGUGGUCAGGUCAAUGUGGCAGGAGAGGAGAGGGGGUUUCGUUAACAGGUGACUGUAGAGCAUUGCCCGGCUGCACUGCCUCGCGAGCUCUUCUGUGCCAGAGAAGUAUUACUGCACCCCCGCCACCCACCAGUUGUAUUUUGUCAUGUCUAUUAUUUAUGCUAGUCGUACUGUCCUUCAGUCUGAGGUCAGUAAUUCUACUCUUUCUUUCUAUGAGCUUUUUCCCCUGUGUCUUUUUGAAUGCACUGUUUGCCCAGUCUGCCCUCUUCUGUACUGAGAUAAGUCGUCAGGUUUUUUUUCCUGUUGCAGUAUUGAUAGCUUUGCAGUUAACCUUACUUAAAUUAAGUGGGAGAAAUGCAUGAUGGUCUCUUGUAGAAAACCUCACUUAAUAUCUUUUUCCUAUCCCAUAUUUAUUGUGUUGAGUAUUUCGUGUUUUUAACUGUUCAUCCACUUAUUGUGACCAUGCUAAUUAGAUGCUCUGUGGCAUGCUUCUAGAUGAAGUCGGUGCGUUUUUUUCCCUACCAAUUCUUCUAAGAACAAUUUUUUCAGAGAAAAUACCUGAUGUAUGUGGCAUAUGAAAACACAGUUAUAGUGAAUUUCCUUUCUAUGUUUAUUUGCAACCCUUGUGUUUUCUUGGAAUGCACUUUGACAUGUGCCCAUGAUACCAUGAGCUGUCUCUCUGCGGAGCACUGUCCCUCCCAGAGAAGAGGUGGUGUUGAAGACCCUUUACUGCAGACACUCGAUCCUCUAACGAUGUCAUAUGCUUGCAUAAACCUCAUGACUGGCUUCAGGCCUUGAUGUUAAUCUUCAGAGGGUGGCAGAUCCAACUUUGGUUGGGCAACACAGAAUAAAGCAGUAGACUUGAAAGACGUUUUCUGAGGCAACGAGUGCAUGAAUUACACAUUAACACACAAGCUGUUUCUGCCAGGGGAAGCAGGCUCCUCGCGUUCGUUGUCUGCGCUCGUUCACACAAUUAACAGGCGCCUUUGUUACAACAAAACCAAACAAUAUGAAACUUCAGCACCAACGUGAAACCCUGUAGUUGCCACAGAUACUUGAUGUGUUAGCUUUGGCGAUGCUAGCGUGCCUUGUAUUGCAAUUAGAGUUACUGGAAUGUAACAUGGGCGACUUACCACUGUGGCGACAAUGUUACAUCCUGCAAAAUCCGCUGGAGCCCAGCUGGGUGUUCGCAUGCCAGCCUGUAACCCUCAACCCUUGGGGUUGCCUUUGUCCUGCUUAAAGACCAUCUUCCCACCCUUUCCCCAGAACCAACCGUUCCAUCUGCACCUCCUGAAGUCAGGAGAGCAUCCUAACCAAACAGCACCUUGGUGGGAGUCGUGGGGUUCCCCGUGCGGAGGAUGUUGUAGCUAUUGUUCCGAAUCUGUCUGUAUUUUGGAGUCUGACUGAAGCGUGAGGUGAAUGCUUGUCCUAGUCCAUCUUGUUCAGGGUCCGGGUUUCCUCCCCGCGAUGACGCGUGGUGUGAGCAUCCACGUCUAUCUUCCUGAAGUCAAAGCAAUAUUCCUCGGGAAAGGGUCAGGUGAGCGGCCGGACGCAGCCGCGGCAUAAAACGAGACUUUCGGAGAACCUGAUCUUGUCGUAGGCUUGCAGUUGGUGUCCGCUCCGGCCUUAUCCUCCUUCAGAGAAACUGUAGUCGCCUUCGGUGCUUAUCGAGCUGUCAUUCGACCUGUGGAUUUCUAAGGCAAGCGGUUGCUUUUCGGGAAUUGCGCGGACCUUCGCGCGGCCGGCAGUAGCGGCUUCGGCAAGCUCGGCCGCCACGGGGGCGGCCAGGGCUUUGCUCAUGAGUUCAGUGCGUUUCUCCUUGUACCUUCUAUCCUGUUGGCGUGGGAUUUUUUUUGGAAACUGUCUCUUAGCAGCCCUGGAACUGAUAAAAGCCCUGCUCUCUCCCUUCUGCGACACGCAGGGGAUUUCAGGGAGGCAGGAGCUGUUUCAAGAGGUCAGUGACCACCUACCAUGAAACCGAUAAAGCCUCCAUGUUAUACCCCUCGGCAAUUUGCUGUCGGGCACACAGAGAGAAGGAAAAAAAAAAAAAAGAUUUUAAAGCUUUUAGCUGUUGUUAAAUUCUGUCUGGCUGCAAAGGAAAGCACACCUACGUUCGGAAACGGGUGGCUUUCCAGAUCCUUACAUGCAACCUAAUAGAAAGGGCUGAAGAGCAUCUUAAUGCGAGAGCUCGGCUAGUCAGUGUCCCGAAAGGUAAGUGAAGGGGCUCGGUUGACCCAGUGAUCCAAACGGAUGCAGGAGAAUCAAAAAGUAGGACAGUGGCAGGGUAUGGAUCCGCUGUAUAGGCGAGACUGCUGAAGCAUUGGCCAUGGACGCUGUUAUUUGGAGGCAGUAAAUUACUGAGUCUUUAAAAAAAAAAAAAGUAAUAAUGAAGAAAAAUUGCUGCUUGUGCCAGGAAAUGUGGCUUUUCUUCUUUUUCAUUCUGUUUUUUCAUUUAAGACUGGCAGAGGGGAGUUAAGAGCUUUUCCCUCUGGUUUUGUGACUGUGCCGGCGUCUGUGUGUGUGUCUUGUGUGUGUGUUAGGCUGGGGGAGGGUCGGGGGCACCUCUCUGGUUUUAGUUCUUUUUUUUUUUUUUUUUUUCUUUUCUUUCCAAGGAUCAUGGCAGGAUCACACACUCUUUUAUACAAGUUAGAUCCAGGUCUUUGAAUAACCUUUUUUGUAAAUAAGAAAAAAAAACAACAAAAAAAAACCCCAACAACAACAACAAAAAAAAGCUCCUCACCAAAUUCAAGCUUGUACAUUAUUAUUUUUGGUUGUUUUUGAAUUUUGAGUUUUAUUGUUUUGUAUGUAAAUAUGUGGACCCAGGAACUGUUAUUAAUGAGCAAAAAGUUACCGUUCAGGGCAGUGAUUCUGUUUAAUAAUCAGACAAAAUGUAGACGAGCUUUUUAAAGCCAUAUAGUUUUAACUCUGUACAGUAGGUACCGGCCUGUAUUAUUGUAACAAUAACUCUAGCGAUGUAUAGUGUAUCUAUAUAGUUUGGAGUGCCUUCGCUUCCAUGAUUUUUUGAAUUUUAUUUCCCCCCCUUUUUUUUUCCCCUCCCCUCCUUUAUUAACGUCUCCCACCCCAAACCCGCAUCUUUGCUCCCCC